RNAcentral lists this ribosomal RNA (774 nucleotides) under uncultured Neocallimastigales. RNAcentral describes it as "partial large subunit ribosomal RNA". It matches the Rfam family "Eukaryotic large subunit ribosomal RNA", at positions 24 to 646 of the family's 3401-position model. Lineage: Eukaryota; Fungi; Neocallimastigomycota; Neocallimastigomycetes; Neocallimastigales. The record is from RNAcentral.
GUAGUCUCGCACAGAUGCAUAUCAAUAAGCGGAGGAAAAGAAACUAACAAGGAUUCCCCUAGUAACGGCGAGUGAAGCGGGAAGAGCUCAAAUUUGAAAUCUUAAAGGGUUUCCCUUUACGAAUUGUAGUUUAAAGAAGUGUUUUCUGUUGAGGUUUUGGUAAAAGUUCUUUGGAAUAGGACAUCAUAGAGGGUGAGAAUCCCGUAUUUGACCUUUACUUUCAACUUUGUGAUACACUUUCAAAGAGUCGGAUUGUUUGGGAAUGCAGUCCAAAAUGGGUGGUAAAUUUCAUCUAAAGCUAAAUAUUGGCGAGAGACCGAUAGCGAACAAGUACCGUGAGGGAAAGAUGAAAAGAACUUUGAAAAGAGAGUUAAACAGUACGUGAAAUUGUCAAAAGGGAAGCGUUUGACACCAGUGUUGUUUUUCUGAAAAUCAAUUAAAGAACUGUUUAUGCUAAGUUGUUUAGACUUUAUCAGCUAACUGUUUAGUUUUGAGCUUUUCUUUAAUGCACUUUUCAGUUAACAAGUCAACAUCAAUUUCUUUUGCUGUAAAAAAGCUUGAGGAAGGUGGCUUGAGAUUCGUCUUAAGUGUUUAUAGCCUCUUGCCUAUGCAGUCGGAGAGAUUGAGGUCUGCAGCGUAGAUCCUUCAGGGCUAAAUGCAUUUGUGCUAAGUUAUAGCAUUUUAUAGACAACUUGUUGACUAUGAUUUGUCUUGUAGCUUACUCGCUUAUGUUAUUUUACCUACGCUUAGGAUGUUGACGCAUGAGAUAUACGC